GUACUUACCUGGCAGGGGAGAUACCAUGGUCACAAAGGUGGUUUUUCUAGGGCAAGGCUUUUCCAUUGACUCCAGAUGUGCUGACCCUUGCUAUUUCCCCUAAUGUGGGAAACUCUACUGUAUAAUUUGUGGUGAGGGACACUGUGUUUGUACGUUCCCCUA
This is a small nuclear RNA of 162 nucleotides. Its record names the gene U1. It matches the Rfam family "U1 spliceosomal RNA". From Rfam's summary of the family: U1 is a small nuclear RNA (snRNA) component of the spliceosome (involved in pre-mRNA splicing). Its 5' end forms complementary base pairs with the 5' splice junction, thus defining the 5' donor site of an intron. There are significant differences in sequence and secondary structure between metazoan and yeast U1 snRNAs, the latter being much longer (568 nucleotides as compared to 164 nucleotides in human). The record is from Ensembl.